This 252-nucleotide ribosomal RNA is filed under the name uncultured bacterium. Its description in RNAcentral is "partial 16S ribosomal RNA". It matches the Rfam family "Bacterial small subunit ribosomal RNA", at positions 524 to 776 of the family's 1533-position model. The record is from RNAcentral.
UACGUAGGUGGCGAGCGUUGUCCGGAAUUACUGGGUGUAAAGGGAGCGUAGGCGGGAGUGCAAGUUGAAUGUGAAAUCUAUCGGCUCAACCGGUAGCUGCGUUCAAAACUGCAUUUCUUGAGUGAAGUAGAGGCAGGCGGAAUUCCUAGUGUAGCGGUGAAAUGCGUAGAUAUUAGGAGGAACACCAGUGGCGAAGGCGGCCUGCUGGGCUUUUACUGACGCUGAUGCUCGAAAGCAUGGGUAGCAAACAGG